GAGGUUGCUGCUAUCUGGAUUUGAUUAAGCCAUGCAAGUCUUUCCGCAAGGAAGGCAAACUGCUGAGUAACACGUCGAUAACAUACCCUAAGGUUCGGAAUACUCUCGGGAAACUGAGCAUAAGACCGAAUAGGGAAGAAAUUCUGGAAGGAAUUCUUCUUUAAACGUAAGGCCAUAGGAUUGGACGGCGGCGGAUUAGGUAGUUGGUGAGGUAACGGCUCACCAAGCCAAAGAUCCGUAGGGGUCCUGAAAGGGAGAGCCCCCAGAAGGGCACUGAGAUACUGGCCCUAGCCCUACGGGGUGCAGCAGGCGCGAAAACUUUCCAAUGCACGCAAGUGUGAGAAGGAAAUCCAGAGUGCUUAAGAUUAAUCUUAGGCUUUUGCCAUGGGUAAAUACCAGGGAGAAUAAGUGGAGGGCAAUACCUGUGCCAGCCGCCGCGGUAACCCAGGAUCCACAAGUGGCAACCGCUUUUAUUUGGCCUAAAGCGUCCGUAGCUGGUUUUGUAAAUCUUCUGUGAAAUUUCGUGGCUUAACCACGAAGCGCGCAGGAGACACUGCAUCACUUGGGACCGGGAGGCGUGAGGAGUAUUUUUGGGGGAGCGGUAAAAUGUUAUAAUCCCAAAAGGACUACCUGUGGCGAAGGCGCCUCACGAGAACGGAUCCGACAGUGAGGGACGAAAGCUAGGGAGCAAAACGGAUUAGAUACCCGAGUAGUCCUAGCCGUAAACUCUGCAAGCUAGGUGUCGCGUAAUCUUCGGGAUU
RNAcentral lists this ribosomal RNA (761 nucleotides) under uncultured euryarchaeote. Its description in RNAcentral is "bacterial SSU rRNA". It matches the Rfam family "Archaeal small subunit ribosomal RNA", at positions 20 to 792 of the family's 1478-position model. The record is from RNAcentral. Lineage: Archaea; Methanobacteriati; Methanobacteriota.